Dreissena polymorpha is the source of this 1922-nucleotide long non-coding RNA. RefSeq lists it as uncharacterized. NCBI's taxonomy places the organism in Eukaryota, Metazoa, Mollusca, Bivalvia, Myida, Dreissenidae. The record is from RefSeq and is a predicted model, not a curated record. The transcript has 3 exons.
GAUGAGGUUGGCCAAGAUACUUCAAUUUAUUUCUGAAUUUCAAUUAAAAGUACCUUUACUGCAAUUCGGACGUUACAAUUCGGAUAAACCAAAUGAAAUUACCCCGAAAAUCAGGUUCAGCAGCCGGAGCGUGCACCUAGCGACGGAGGCAAGAGUCACCUGCAGAAGAUUUUCUUCAAGUCUUCUCAGAAGAAUCGUCAAGCGAAAUGCUAAUUGUCCAUAGCUGAAAAGUGGUUUUCACUACAUCCUCUGAGGAGCAUCCGAUAGGAAAACUUCUGCAGGCCGAUCAGUCAUUCCUUAAGCUGGUCAUCCUCUUCCGCUAAGUGCGCUGUCUCUCAGAACUUUGAAGGUUGGGGUUCCCCAAUUGGAAUGCUUAUUGUCGGAAGGGGAUGAAGAUAUAGUGGUUUACAGGUUGUCACUGUUAUAGCCAAGAGUGGGAUGGGACUUCGCUGUCUCCCAGAACUCGAAGAUCGGGGUUCCCCAAGCUGAUUGCUAAUUGUCCGUAGGGUAUGAAGAUAUAGUGGUUUAGGGGUUGCCACUAUAAUCUCCAGAAGUGGGACGGGAGCAGCGGGACAGCAGAUUUGGCAGCGUAGAGGAUGGACGGGCGGACCUGGAGUAGUGAUGCAAUCCAGGACUUCAAGGGGAUGGCCUCAUGAACACAAUGGAAAUGUUCGAGGACGGCGGUAGUCAGUACGCUCAACGUAAUGGGGAAACCGUUCUGAGGUUCAGGUCGACAGUUAAUGACAUCAAGAGCGGCAAUUAAGAAUAUGUUUGCCAAAUCGUCAGCACUCCCUUGACGGAGUAACCUUGUCCAUUUUAUGGCAACCAGACAUGAAUUGUCUUUAAAUUGUCUUUCAGUUAAGGUCUCAUUGACCAUCAUGCACUGGUCUAUUUGGAUCAAUUAAAUACUUAAUAAUAAUUAAAUAUUUUCCCCUGAAAGAUUACAGGGGCAGGUCGAUACUUAAUGAUGUGGUUAAGAAGCAACAGUGUUAACGGGGACCAAGUGAUCAUACUUACCAUACGACAAUUUAAGAAAACAUCUUUGUGUAAGCUGCAAUAAUAAAGCAUUUGUUUCUAAACCUUUUGCAUUCUAUAAUUCAUGUAUACAAUUAGUUUGCAGAUAAUUUGUGCAAAUAGUCUGCAAAUACCUGUCAAUUCAUUGCUUUGACAGACAGCAGAUAUUUUAAUAUAUUGUGAAAUGGAAAAUGGUGUGUGGGAAGGUUACCAGGCCAAAUCCUUUACCAUGCCUUGACCAUUAUUGAGGUGAAGUUUAAACUGCGUCAGGUGAAGUAUAGACUUUGGUCCUUGAUAAAAUCUUUUACAAUUCUUGUAUGUCUUGAACUAAAGUGAGCCCUACAGGGUCUUUUGUUGUAUGUCUUUAACUCAGCUGGGCACCUAGUGCCCAUGCGACAUAUUGUGUUCUGUAUUGGUCUGGCGAUUGGCAUAGUGUAUCCUUUGUCUAUUUGUUACCACUGUAGAGGACAGAUUUUUCAUUCAAUCUUUAUGAAAGUUUAUCAGAAAUUUUAUCUUUAAAAUAUGCAGGCUGAGUUUGAAUCUGGGUAACGUGCAUCCAUAACACUGGGUCAAUAUGUAAAAUCUUAGAAAAAUCUAGUGACCACUCAAGAAGCCUCAUUUCUUAUCGAAUUUUGAUGAAACUUGGUUAGAAUGUGACUAUAUCUUUGCAAAGUUAUAAUAUGUGUAACAUGUAGUACAAAAUUAGAUCACCAGGUGAGAAUGUUUUUCUUGACAAUAUCUUUUCCAAAUUUGAGAGGAAAUGUUUGACUACAUUUAUGUCAGUAACAUUAAAAUACUAGGUCCCCUAGUCAAGCCUUAACUAUUGGUGUAGAUUGAAAACAGGUGAGUGUCAUGGCCCUCCUGUUUCAAGUCGGGUUGGUAGGUUUAAAAAUAAGUCAAGGUGGCAG